This is a long non-coding RNA of Equus asinus (donkey), 1868 nucleotides long. NCBI's taxonomy places the organism in Eukaryota, Metazoa, Chordata, Mammalia, Perissodactyla, Equidae. The record is from Ensembl.
UCUCCUUCAGUCUGGAUUUGUUCCUCAGUCUUUCCUUGACUUCAUGAUCUUGAUGGUUUUGAAGACACAAGUCCAAUUAUUUUGUCAAAUGUCCCUCAGUUUUGGUUUACUGAUGUUUCCUCAUUAGAUUUAAGUUAUACAUCUUUGCUAGGAGUAUUCCAGAGGUGAUGCUGCUACAUCCUCAUUAGAUUUAAGUUAUACGUCUUUGCUAGGAGUAUUCCAGAAGUGAUGCUGCAUUCCUUUCAUUGCACUACUAAAAGGCGUAGGAUUCAAAUGUAUCCCAUUACUGAUGACAUUAAUUUUGAUCGCUGGAUUAAGAUUGUAUCUCUCAGCCUUUUCCACUGUGAAAUUACUUCUCUCCUCUUUGUAGGUAAUGAAGUAAUUAAUGAAUAUAUAUGGGAAGCUGCUUUGAGACUCUGUAAAUAUCCUGUUAAUCAUCAAACUUUCAAUUUACUCUUUAUUUAUGUCAGUAUGAACUCAUGAAUUGCUAUUUAUUCAAUGGAUUUUAAUCUAUUGUUAUUUAUUAUCAUCGUUUAUUUUGGUACUGAAUUGUCAAGCUGGCUUUAGAGUCCUUUUGACAUGUUCUGUCGUUCUUUGAAAACUGCCUUAUUUUCUGGCACAAAAAGUUGUUUCAGGCUCACCUUUUACUUUUUCUAUUCGGUCUUAGAAUUAGCCAUUUUUUUUUAAGGAAUGCGGUAUUCUUUUAGUGAAAAAUGGUAUUUAGAACCCAAAAUCUGGGUUCUUGAUGAGUUUACUGCUGUUGGGGUGUUAUUGCUCCCACCCUCUCUCAGAGGGAAGAGCUAGGGAAUACACACAUUUACAUCUCUAUUUCUCUCUAUAUUGAUAACUAUGAGUUCACAUUUAUAUCUCUAAUUCAAAUCCAUAGGGUUUACUCUAGUUUUCUCCCUUUCCAUUUUCGUAACUGUGAUGGUUAAUUUUAUGUGUCAGUCUGACUGGGCUACGGGGCCCCCAGAUACUUGGUUAAACAUUAUACCGGUGUGUCUGUGAGGGUGUUUCUGGAUGAGAUAAACAUUUGAAUUAAGUUUAGUAAAGCUGAUUGCCCUCCCCAGUGUGUGUGGGCCUCAUCCAACCCACUGAAGUCCUGAAUAGAACAAAAAGGCUGAGUAAGAACGAAUUCACUCUCUGCCUGACUGUCUUCGAGCUGGGACAUUGGUCUUCACCUGCCUUCGGACUUGGACUUGGACUUGGACUCAGGCUGACAGGUACACCAUUAGCUCUCCUAGUUCUCAGGCCUUUGGACUGGAGCUACACCAUUGGCUCUUCUGGGUCUCCAGUUUGCCAACAGCAGAUCUGGGGACUUCUCAGCCUCCAUAACCACGCUGGUCACAAGCUACAAACUGGAUCAUUUGACACAUCUCUCGUGCACUUGAAACUCAAAUUGAAACUCUGCCAUUUUAACUGUACAAAGAAAAAUAACUUUUCAAAGCCCCACAUAUAUAUUUUUCUGAUUCAUCCUUUUGAUAUUUUACUUGGACCAAAACCCAAAUUCACUUGGUUUUCUCCAAGCACAUAUUUGGGCUACUUCCAUCAUUGUUCUUGGAAAUGGUUUUUCCUUUUGACAUACUGUAUGUUCAGUAUACAACCUGGUCAACACCAUCACAGGCCACAGCACUGACUCCCUCGUGGGCUGUCAGGAGCAUCUCAAAAAGAUUAUGUCUCCACUUAGGCUCAUCAGCUGCUUGUUUUGCAAUGUUCAGGAAAACACGUGUGUGUGUGUUUAUGUGUUUAUGUCAGCGUGAGUUUUGUGUCUGCUGGGGGAAAUGCUGGGUUAGCAUGUUUUUCAGAGUUUGAAGAAUUUCUGUGGCUUAUUUGCUGAUAUGAAUAAAAGUCAGAACAUGUUUUGGAAA